RNAcentral lists this ribosomal RNA (254 nucleotides) under uncultured bacterium. RNAcentral's name for it is "partial 16S ribosomal RNA". It matches the Rfam family "Bacterial small subunit ribosomal RNA", at positions 524 to 776 of the family's 1533-position model. The record is from RNAcentral.
UACGGGGGGGGGCAAGCGUUGUUCGGAAUUACUGGGCGUAAAGGGCGCGUAGGCGGCCUGCUAAGUCGGAUGUGAAAUCCCUCGGCUCAACCGAGGAACUGCAUCCGAUACUGGCGGGCUUGAAUCCGGGAGAGGGAUGCGGAAUUCCAGGUGUAGCGGUGAAAUGCGUAGAUAUCGAGAGGAACACCUGCGGCGAAGGCGGGUUGCUGGGCUGAUACUGACGCUGAGGCGCGAAAGCCAGGGGAGCGAACGGG